Molecule: ribosomal RNA, 460 nt
Filed under: uncultured bacterium
Lineage: Bacteria
Description: partial 16S ribosomal RNA
Rfam family: Bacterial small subunit ribosomal RNA
Source: RNAcentral
ACUACGGGUGGCAGCAGUGAGGAAUAUUGGUCAAUGGGCGGAAGCCUGAACCAGCCAAGUAGCGUGCAGGAUGACGGCCCUACGGGUUGUAAACUGCUUUUAUACGGGAAUAACGCGCCUUACGUGUAGGGCUUUGCAUGUACCGUAUGAAUAAGGACCGGCUAAUUCCGUGCCAGCAGCCGCGGUAAUACGGAAGGUCCGGGCUUUAUCCGGAUUUAUUGGGUUUAAAGGGAGCGUAGGCCGCAUGUCAAGCGUGCUGUGAAAUGUCCGGGCUCAACCCGGGCCUUGCAGCGCGAACUGGCGUGCUUGAGUCCGCGGAAAGCAGGCGGAAUUCGUCGUGUAGCGGUGAAAUGCUUAGAUAUGGCGAAGAACCCCGAUUGCGAAGGCAGCUUGCUGCAGCGGAACUGACGCUGAUGCUCGAAAGCGCGGGUAUCGAACAGGAUUAGAUACCCUAGUAGUC